This 325-nucleotide ribosomal RNA is filed under the name uncultured bacterium. RNAcentral describes it as "bacterial SSU rRNA". It matches the Rfam family "Bacterial small subunit ribosomal RNA", at positions 167 to 507 of the family's 1533-position model. The record is from RNAcentral.
UACCGGAUAGGACCAUGGACUUCACGGUUUGUGGUGGAAAGCUUUGCGGUGUGGGAUGGGCCCGCGGCCUAUCAGCUUGUUGGUGGGGUAAUGGCCUACCAAGGCGACGACGGGUAGCCGGCCUGAGAGGGUGUCCGGCCACACUGGGACUGAGAUACGGCCCAGACUCCUACGGGAGGCAGCAGUGGGGAAUAUUGCACAAUGGGCGCAAGCCUGAUGCAGCGACGCCGCGUGAGGGAUGACGGCCUUCGGGUUGUAAACCUCUUUCAAUAGGGACGAAGCGCAAGUGACGGUACCUAUAGAAGAAGCACCGGCCAACUACGUG